CCUACGGGAGGCAGCAGUGAGGAAUAUUGGUCAAUGGACGCAAGUCCGAACCAGCCAUGCCGCGUGCAGGAAGACGGCUCUAUGAGUUGUAAACUGCUUUUGUACGAGGGUAAACGCAGAUACGCGUAUCUGGCUGAAAGUAUCGUACGAAUAAGGCUCGGCUAACUCCGUGCCAGCAGCCGCGGUAAUACGGAGGAUUCAAGCGUUAUCCGGAUUUAUUGGGUUUAAAGGGUGCGUAGGCGGUCGGAUAAGUUAGAGGUGAAAUCCCGAGGCUCAACUUCGGAAUUGCCUCUGAUACUGUUCGGCUAGAGAGUAGUUGCGGUAGGCGGAAUGUAUGGUGUAGCGGUGAAAUGCUUAGAGAUCAUACAGAACACCGAUUGCGAAGGCAGCUUACCAAGCUACUUCUGACGUUGAGGCACGAAAGCGUGGGGAGCAAACAGGAUUAGAUACCCUUGUAGUC
This 460-nucleotide ribosomal RNA is filed under the name uncultured bacterium. RNAcentral describes it as "partial 16S ribosomal RNA". It matches the Rfam family "Bacterial small subunit ribosomal RNA", at positions 338 to 795 of the family's 1533-position model. The record is from RNAcentral.